CUAUAGCGAGCGGGUACCACCUGAUCCCAUAUCGAACUCAGAAGUGAAACCGCUUAGCGCCGAUGAUAGUGUGGGAGGUCCCAUGUGAAAGUAGGUC
RNAcentral lists this ribosomal RNA (97 nucleotides) under uncultured Chromatiales bacterium HF0200_41F04. The record is from RNAcentral. Lineage: Bacteria; Pseudomonadati; Pseudomonadota; Gammaproteobacteria; Chromatiales.